Molecule: RNA transcript, 10699 nt
Organism: Mustela lutreola (European mink)
Lineage: Eukaryota; Metazoa; Chordata; Mammalia; Carnivora; Mustelidae
Gene name: protein FAM156A/FAM156B-like
Exons: 5
Source: RefSeq, a predicted model, not a curated record
GACAGCUGAGCUGGAGCACAUGGGGAGGGGUGUGUGUGGUGUUUGGGUGUGCGAUCGUGCGUGCGUGCGUGCGUGCGAGCGCGUGCGCAUGCCUUUCGGAGUGUAGAAUUUUUCUCCGAGUUCAACUCUUCGGGGACCGGCUGCUGCGAGGGAAUGAAGAUGCUGCCUUAGUCGGUGGCGAAGUUCGGCGCAACAGCUGGCUGGUAGCCAGUGUCUGGCGCUGGACGCGCGCGGUGACUGUACCGUCUUCACGAGUGUCCCGUGUGCCCUCUGCGAUGACACAUCCUGUGUGUGCUCUCUGACUAGCCCGACACUGCCUCAGCCUGGAAGACUUUCGGGUCAGCCUCUGCUUCCCGACCAGAGUGUGCUGUGCCCGAAUUUGUGCCUCAGGCUGGCUAAGAACCAGGUUCAUACAGACACUUCGGCACAUAUCCUACAGAAGAUCCGUCUGGUCCGUACACUUGGGUUCCCCUCAUCCUGUUUCCUCCAUGUCCCGCUGCAGCUCUCGAGUGAUACUGGAGUGUGGUCGCAGACUCCAAGCCAAGAAGGGAAAGGCUUUCGCUGAUGUGUUUUUCCCAAACGGUCAAGGGUUAUUGGUACCUUUCCAGCUCCAGUAAUCAACAUGGUGUCGUACUGAUGUGAGGAUGGACAUAGAGAUCAACGGAAUAGAAUUGAGGGUCCGGAAAUAACCCAUACUACUAUGGUGUAUAUUGAAGACAAGUGAGGACAUAAGCUCUCGCAAAAACUUGUAUACGAAUGUUCCUGGCAACCUUAAUCACAACCGUCGAAGAGUGCAAACAACCCAAAUGCCAGCCAUGUCAUGAGUCUAUCACGUGUGGUGAUACCAUAUCGUAGAAUAACGUUCAGGCAAAAAAGAAUGGAGCCGUGAUACUUGCCACAACAUGGAUGAAUCCUGAACACAUUAAGCUGAGCGAAAGAAGCCAUGCUCAAAGGCUGUUUGAUGUGUGAUCCUAAUUAGUGGAAAUACCCAGAAUGGACAAAUCUGUGGAGACCUGAAGCCCAGUAGCGAAUAUCCAGAGUUCCUGGGAGAGGGGAUUGGGGAGGGACUGCUAAUGGUAAAGGGUUUGUUUUGGAAUUAGAUACUGGUGGCAGUUUACACAACCUUGUGCCUGUACAACUAAAAAGGGUGAAUUUGACGGUACACGACUUGCAGUUCAAUAAAAUGAAAAAGAAUUAAAUGAAAGCAGUACGUACCUUUGAAUAGGUUUUUGGCCAUUUUUAGAAAUGCAGUUGGCUACACCCAAAAGACAUAGUAAGCUGUUCAAAUCUUGUAGCCGGAUGAGGUGUGUCCUUCUCGUCCCUGUUACCCGUAUUUACAGACUGCACGUGCGCACACAUAUACACGUACAGACCCUGGUUGACGUGGGAGUACUUCUUACAUGCUACUCCCCAUUUAAAAAUAUAUAUAAAAGUAAAAUAAAAGCAAAAUAAAGCUCUCUGGCCAGUACAGAUUUGCUCCUCUCAUUCCGUUUCAAGGCCAGUGGGUGCUCCACGGUAUGAUACGAACACGUCAUCUCUCAUUUCCCCUUCCCAAGGGUGUUGACUACUAAGGGCCGUUGAGAGUUUCUUUCCCCCAGAAAUUUCUUCUUGUCAUUAUACACACAGCUCUGUGCCUGUGUGAAUAUUUAAGACCAGUUGGUAGCAGUGGAGAUUGCUGGAUCAGAGGUUCCUUCAGUACAGAAAUGUCUCUGAAGUACUUACUUGUGGACCUGAUACUGUUCUAAAUGCUGGGGAGACAUCCCAGAAGACGCACACGUGCGCUUCGUUUCAUGAACUGAAAUUGUACUGAGGGUGGGGACGGGGUGGAAUCAGAUUUUGAUAGAUGCUGCCACAGAGCCCUGCGAAGUUCUUUUACCAAUUCAUGCUUCCCUCGGGGUGGCUGGGGUAACAGAUGCCCCUUUGCUGGACACCUCAGCACCCCAUUCAUGGAGCAGGGGCUGUUGACAGGAGGCUGAGCGCUUUCUCCCAGGCUGCCUACAAGAUCAUGGAGUCUGCAGCUCGAAUGAUGCCUGUGGGGAUUUUUUUUUUUUUUUUAGAUUAUUUAUUUAUUUAUUUAUUUAUUUGACAGACUGAGAUCACAAGUAAGCAGAGAGGCAGGCAGAGAGAGAGGGGGAAGCAGGCUCCCUGCCGAGCAGAGGGCCCUAUGUGAGGCUUGAUCCCAGGACCCUGAGAUCAUGACCUGAGCCGAAGGCAGAGGCUUUAACCCACUGAGCCACCCAGCCGCCACUCCCCCCACCCCCCGCCACGCCCCCGCCUUCGGGAUUUUAAGAGUAGUGAGACUGAUUGGGGCACAUGGAUGGCUCAGUCGGUUAAGAGCCUGUCUUUGGCUCAGGUCAUGAUCCCAGGGUCCUGGAAUCAAGCCCUGCAUCAGGCUCCCUGCUCAGCAGAGAGCCUCCUUCUGCCUGCCACUCUGCCUACUUGUGCUCUCUCUGUGUCUGUCAAAUUUAUAAAUGAAUGAAUGAAUGAAUAGCAAGACCGAGAGACAACAAUCCACUACCCAUUUAGGUGUAUUCCCAGGUAGGAGGGGAGCUGGGGGUGAUGUGACCUUCUCUGGGCAAAUUACCAGAGUGUGUGGGGACAGGGGAGGGUGAGAGGUUGGUAGAGGAGUAGUGGGCAGUACCUGCCUGUACUGGGAUGUACCACUGAGAGAGCCAGAAGAAGCAGUCCGCUUUGGGAGGGACAAGUGGGAGUGAGGGAGCCUUGUGUUCCCAAACAAACCAUUGUGUGCAGGGUGCAGGGGAGCUCACUACUAUGCAAGGACCUGUGCCUCCCCCAAGGUUGCCAUCACCCCCCUUCUGACCCCAACCUGUCAGCUCUACAGAUUCUAAUCGUGCGGGGACCAGAGAAGGUGACAGUGGGGCACGUGAACGCUUCCCUGAUGGGUGAGCAGGGCAGAGAUGAAGGACACCAGUGGAUCUGAUUGGUCUAGAUGGAAUUGUCUACCAGGAUCUUCCAGGGGAGAGAACUCCCAAUGGCUGCAGGUCGGGGUGUCCUAGAGAGGUUAACGGUGCAUAGGUGGGGCUUCAAAGAGUGGAGGUGGAAGUGGAGCGUUUGAAAACCUGCUGUGCAACCUCAGGCUGCUCAUUCACCAAAAAAGGCUGAAGAUGCUGGCCAGGUCGGUGAGAUCACUGGCUUUUAUUCUGUCCUCUAGUCUGUCUUCCAGUUAGGUUUUUAAACAGUGGAUACUGGAUCCCACAAUAUGGAUACCAGUGCCCAAUAAGCAGUCAUGAAAUCUUUCUCCGGUGUCCCGUUAUGUGCCCAGCAGACUACAUGCAGGUCCUGGAUGGGCAGAGAUCUUUCAGAGACAUAUUCAUGACAUUCUCCAGACCAGGUUUCUCCAGGGAAUCCGACAGUGACCCACUCAGCCCAAAGAAGUGAACACUUAAAUGAUGGGAUUUUAAGCAGGAGAUGUCUGGGUGAGAGUAGGUAAGGAAGACAUAGGCGGGUUCUCAAGUCAGUGAACUUCUCACCAGUCCUGACUGUAUUCACACCUGAGUCUGAAAGGCUGCAUAUGUAAGACUGGGUUCCUGUGUUCCCCGGUUCCCGGGGGAAGUGGCCUCAGAGCUGGGCCAGUGUGUGUGUCCCCUGAGGAGGACAGGGUGCACCAGUUGGGCCCACAUUAGGCUCUGUCCCCAAAUCCCACAGCCUCACAGUAGAUACAUGCCCAUGAGCAAAUAGCCCUGCUCUGUUGUUGGCCUCAUGGGGCGAGAAGAGGGGGAAAUGCAUGCGCCUCACAGUUUGCACACCCUCAUGCCACCUUUCCCUUUAAAGCAGAAUUAGGGAUUGAGAGGAGGGGACAGCUUUCCUCUUUGGGGAGAUGAUAAGGUGGAGGGGUGGGUGGAGCAGGGGCACCCCUCAGUGGUCAGGUGCGUGGUCUGUGGCACGUGUACCUGGCAGGGCAGUGUGAACCCCUUCACCAUCUCCUUCCCCCACUCAUGUUCACUGGCUUGCAAAGGAUCUGCUGGCUGAAGGUGUCCCUUCUGUUCGGGGCUCCGGUGGACACUGGGAAAACCAGGUGGCUGCAAUGCCUGCAAGGGUUAGGAGCUGAGAAGGCUGAAGGGAGCACUGUGUUCAGGGUGAAUGAGCCGCCGGCCAGACCUUCCUGAAGGCAGGGUGGCGGGGACCGGACCUACCCUGAGCAGCAUGGGACUCUCCUGCUCCACCUUCCACAGCUUUCGCUCCUCAGCAGGUGGGCUCUGGGACCUUAAGGACAGUGUGAGUCUCCUGAGUAUGGUAUGAACACUGCCAACCUAGACGAUAUCCCUAUUUUGAUGGGCGGAGGGCUCCACUGUGUGUCAAGCCUGGGGGGGGCGGGGGGGCUGCUGCCCUCCUGGGCGUGGCCUGGGCCUAGUGCAGCUUUGUCUUUGUCCAGAAACAGCCAACAAUGGCAAAACCUGUGAGUCACCCGUCCUCUGGAAAAGGAGGUUCCUCGGGUGCCUGGACGGGCCCACUAGGAUAGGGGCUAAUACCCUGGAGACAGCUGUGUUCCUGAAAGGCUCUCUGUAAUUCUGCCUUUUGGUCUCCGUGUCUCACUGGUGGGGCUGGGUGAGACCUCAUUGUGGCUCUCGUUGACAUCUGUCUUGUAUGGGGUGAAUUUUUGUAUUGAGGAGCAGGAUGUCAUUUCUCUGAGCUGGUUUGGGAUCUGUCCAGGAUUUGAGAUGUCUUGAGCUGUGUGAGGGUGUGCCGGCAUGUGAGAUCACUGAGCUGUGGAGUGCUGUGUGUCCCAAGUGAGAGUUCUCUGGGCUAUUUAGGGCUUCCUCCCAGCGUGUGAGGUAUUUGACCUGUUUGGGGUGCAGGGUGCAGCAUGGAAGGUGUUUGGGGCUGUUGCCAUGCAGUACUUUAGGAAUUAGGGUUGGAGCUCUCCUGACAGUGUGUGUCGAGGUUGGCAUAUUUGAGCACCUGGGGGUCCAGUACUCUAGGUUGUGAGAUCAAAAAGGUUAUUUGUCACAGGACAGGGGGUGUCCGAGUAAGCUCUGUGUUCACAGUACAGGUGCUCUGUGCUGUUUGUGCGUCUGCAUGCAGGGUUGUGAGCUCUGUGGUUGUGUGACAUGCAGGGUGUGUGGUCUGUGAGCUAUUUAACGUUCUAUGUCGCAGGUUGUUAGGUUCCUAAAAUGUAUGUGGGUCUGUAUUUUAGAAUUGAUUUGUCUUUGAGCUGUUUCUUGUCUCUCUCCUCAUUUCUUGAGUUUCCAGGAAUUUGAGUUCGGUGCCUUGUUUAAUCUUGUGUGUCCACUGCAUUGCAGUCUCCUCGCUGCCCUUUCCUGGGUCUGGAGCUCAUUCUCUCCAGCUCCCAACAACCUGGCUUUCUUAUCUAGGCCAGUGAGUCUGUGUGGCUGGCUUCCCUCGAUGUGUUAUUGGGAUCGUUUGGGUUUUGCUAGCUGUAGUGUGAGGUCCAUGAGGUAUUUGGGAGUCUGUGUCCAGGUUGUGAUGCUUCCGAGCUGGGGGGGGGAGGGAUAUUCCGGUCCCAGGGUGAGGUCUCCUAUGUCUGUGGUGCUGUGUUGUAGGCAUUGAAACUUCUGACCACGUGGCUGUUCUAACAGAGACUUUGUCACGUACCAAGUUCAGACAUGAGGUGUUUGUGACCUCUGCCCAGUGUUUCAGUCUGACAGCUGUCCAGAAAGACGGAGCUCGAUCUGAAUGAACCGCCGGGACUCAUCCAUUCAGCUCCCAGUAACCUGGCUUCUCGACCAUUGACUCCCUGUGGUGUGCUUCCCUCAGACCCUUCCCUAGGGUUGGGUUCUCCCAAUCCAGAGCUGUAACUUACCUAUUUCAUGCAAAUCUCAAGUACAGUUUGAAAUGGUAGUCAGUAUCCAACUAAAAACACCAGAACCAGUGCUUCCCUAAAGAUACUCUUCAUAAGACAUUUUACUGAAUCCCAAGAGGUUCCAGGUAGGGACCCUGCUGCCCUUUUGAUAGGGAGUUGUGGGAAAUUUCCUUAAAAUACGGGAUAUAUUUUUUUAAUCCUUUCUCUUGCUGGUACCUUGAGAGGCUCAGGCAAGAAAGGCAUUCAAUUUUACGUUUUUGACCAAACAAGCAAAACAACCCUAAAACACACACACACACACCACCCAGUACACCCAGUAGUAAAUAUAAGGAAAUUGUAUUGGAAAUGUAAAUGGACUCCUGUGAUUAAUUAUAAAACUAAAUUUCUGAUCACAUUAGAUGUCUGUCAGGAUUGGCUGUAUUCCAGCUGACAGGACAACCAAAGAUGCCUUCUUUCUCCAGAUCUCAUAGGCUGCAGCUUAUAAUCUGAUUACUGCGGUCUAAGUAAUUGUAACCAGUGUAGGAAUCACAGGGCCUAUUAAAAGCACGUCUUUUCCUGUGUCACAUCAUGACACCUCUGCGUGUGUGUGUGUGUCUCUCCCCCGUCCCCCCACGCCCCUCCUCCUAGACAGACUUUCUCGGGAAAUACAGGAGGCACUACCAAGGAAACAGACUCUGACCCUUGGAACACAGACUGGAGCCCAGUGAUGUCCCAGGCUCUAGCAAUGCCCAUUAGAAGUCUCAGUCUCAUCUCCGCUAAAAAUGGCAACCUAAUUAGAGAAAAGAGAAAAACAGCUAUUCUUUCAGACAGCAACCGGUCGCGCAUGGCUCGGAAAACGCUAGUCCUGAGACACUAAUGUGCGCACGGCCUGUUGAGGGAGAUUCUCCCUCUCUCGCUCUCAGGCCCUCGCUUUUGCUCGUUCCUUCCCAGGAUCAGGUUCCCACCACCCCGCGGCUAGCACACCCCCUCGGUUCCUCAGCCCAGGCCGUGAAGCACACCUUCCAAAAAUGGAAGGGCUAAGACUAAGACCACCGAGAGGAAAAGUCCUCCCGGCUUCCUAGGCCGACCAGCCACGCGCGUGUGCGCGCGCGCACACACCAGGAGAGGAGGGGCUGCGUGACGUCAUAGGAAUGGGCCCAGGGGCCCGAGGCCGGGUGCUUUUUAUCCUUUCUCGGGCUGGGCGGGGCCGGGCGGGGAGGGAGCCGGGAGGUCUGGGGGCACAGUGGGCGCAUCUCUGUGGACCGCGGCUUGGGUGCCUGGAAACCCUGAUGAGAGCGCCGGGGGUGGUGGGAGGGUUGAGCCCGCCCCCAUGGCGGCGCAUCAGAGUGACUGCACAGGACGAGUACUUCCUGAGAUCCCCGGGAGCGUUUCCGGGGGCUGCAGGUCACGUCGCAGACGACGCACGUCGUUCUCAGCUGGGUGGGCUGACCAGGGAGGGGCUUCUCUGUGACAGCCUGUUUAGGUCCCUUGCAGGGGUCACACGCGAGAUCUGUGUUACAAACUUUUUGUUUUCUUACUAGGGGUUUUGCGUAGGCUGGGCAUGCACGCGGGCAAAGGCAAAAGCAAAACUAGGAGAGAGCUUGUCUAUUCAAGCUCUGGCAAUCUGGAGAGCACCCCAUCUGAAGAUCAGUGUGUGUCGGCAGGGUGGUUUUGUCUUUUCUUCAUAGGGAUAAGUAGACACGUUACAGUGGAGAGAUUUAAGGUAGGGGUGUUUCUGCAUUCAGGACUAGUCUCCGUCUGUGGACCAGGAAAUGUUUCUCUCCGUAUCUAGCUAGUUUCGGGAGGAUUGACCUUUCUAAGUCUCAGUGGCUGUUCCUGAGACAGCAGGAAGCUGGGGGACACUGUCUGGCCCUUCAGCCAGAAGAGGAAGGUCCGUGUUUGGCCUUCUCACAUCUAAACCCGAGUCGCCCAAGAGACUGAUGGUGGGUAUGACAAAGAGUGAACAGCAAGCCUUCUCAAAGAUAGAAGGGGCAAGAGUGGUCCUUCCGGGUCAGCCAUUUCUGCACGGCGAAAGCCUGUGGAGAUUUCUUUCCUGUGGCUUUUGUCAUGGCUCAGGUGAAGUUCAGCGUUGUCUGUGGGGUAAAAAUGCGCUUGCCCUCUUUUGUGCCUGUCCAAGCAGAUAUCCAGAUAAGCAGAGAUUCUCUUUUUAACUCUGGAAGUAAUCGAUACCUGACGAGCACUUCAUGGUUUUUGAAAAGUACUGUUUUUCCUGAUCUAAGUGAAGGAAGCAGAAUGAGUCAUUAUCCCAGAAUAAGAUCAUUGUCCUCAUCUUACUAGUGAGGAAACUGACCACAGAGAGGUUCCGUUAUCUGCCCAAAGUCACACAGGGAGUAAGUGGCGGGGCCCUGAUUUCAAAUCUUGGUAUGGAUGGCUUCAUCACCUGUCGGCCAUGCAGGAACAUAGUGUUGGUUUCCAGAUCCACACAUUUGGUUCUGUCCUCUCUGAAACUACACACCUCCUGAGACAACUGACAGGCCUACAGACAGAUUGCACUCAAAAAGUGCUAGCCAAUCUCUGGGACACUGGGGAUGACCUGACGGGGAAGAGAAGUGUUGGAGGAAGUAGGUCCCAAAGGCUCACCACGAUCCCUGAGGGAGAGCCUACCAGAGGAAGACUGAAGGGCCUGAAAGGGACUUGUGUUUCUGAGACGGGCUGAUGGGCUAACCUAUGGCUCGUGUAUUCAGGACGUUGCUUUGAAUUGUAUUUUUUUUCUUUUAGCACUGACAAUCCGUGCUGCGUGUUGAAAACACACAAGGCAGUUAAGUAAAACCAACCAAUAUAUGGAUAGGUAGAGAGAAUCCCGUUUGACCCAAGGAGUACCUACCUGACUGUCAAACAGCUCUGUGCUGUGCAAAGGAAGAGCAUUUUCUUAGACUGAAUGAAACAAAUUAGCUCUUUUUCCUAAUUUUUAGUAUCCUUCCCUUCCAGAUGAAACAACUCAGGCACAGAGAAGCUGGGUCAGCUCCCCCAAGUAUUUGAGGUACUAAGUGGUUGAGUGCAGAGGCAGAGAAUACACAACAUGUCCAGAACUGACUGCGUCCACCCCCAUUCCCCAUACAUCUGCAUCUCCUCCGGUGUUGCCAAACUCAGUGAAAAGCAGCCUUCAUACCCAGCUGCUUGGGCCAGCGAUCCUUAAACCCAUCCUUCCUCGGGCAGCUGGGUGGCUCAGUCAGUUAAGCACUGCCUUCGGCUCAGGUCAUGAUCUCCGGGUCCUGGGAGUCCUGUCCCGCAUCGGGCUCCUUGCUCAGCGGGGUGUCUGCUUCUCCUUCUACCCUUCCCCUCACUCACGUUCUCUCUCUCACGCUGUCUCUCUCAAAUAAAAUAUUUUUUUUUUCUUUUUUAAAAAUCCCUCCUUCCUUGCUGCCUCUCUCACUAUCCCUCAGUUACUAAGGCCUGUCAAUCCAACUUUCUCCAUCCUUCUAAAUAAGAUCUUGACACUUCUUCCAUCACUACGGUUCGAUCCCUAGUCCAGAUGACCCUCUUCUGUGCUUGAUAAUCACCACCAAUCUUGACCCUUGGCCACAAGUGUUUUCAUCCCACUGCCUGAGGGACCCUUCUUAAAUCUUAAUCUGGUCUUGUCUACCCUGCUCAAAACUCUGCAGGGGCAUCCUGCUGUUUUUAAGAUCACAUCUGCCUCUUGGACUCGGCACAGCAGGCCUUGCCUACCCUCAAAUGCCUCAUCUUCAGCACACCACCUCCUGCUCCACCCCAUGCCACAUUUCCAGCCCCCUUCCACUUCUUUCUGUUUAGCAGGUGGCCAGUGAACCCAGACGCUCUCUCUUCUCUCUACCUCUCAUUUCCCCAGCCCCACGCAUGCCAUCCCCUGUGGAUCGAGGAUUCACUUCACUUGCCUGAUUCCUACCUAUGUUCAGCUGGCAGGUUCAGUAGAGGGCAAUCUCCACUUAACGCGAGGAGUACCUGGAUGAAGAGGCACUGUUCACAGAACUUUGUGCUGAAAAGAAGUGAUGGAGAUUCCAUUAUAAAUAACCCCAAAUGGACAGAGGUUUUACUCUGGACCACAGUGAGCUAUUUGGAAAUGCAGUCUGACGGCAAUUUGGCCUUUCUGGAAAAGGCCUCCUUGCUUAGAGUAGGAUUACACUCGGCAAAGAUCUCACCUCAUGUUACAUGGAGCCUUGGAUCCACGUGACUCGGACUUUGGAAUGUGGCCCACAUUUUCCAGUGUGAAGGGGUCCUUCCUUCCGGUGAGGAGGGAUAAGCAGAAACAUGGGAAGAAUAUGUCAUUAGGGCACCUGUGACCCAGGACAUUAAGCAGGCCUGCAGCCACCUCCCGUGGACUUUGUUUUGAUGUGCUAGUUUUUCAGUGGAAGUUGCAGUCUGAGUUUUCUGUUGGAACAAGAGAAAGUAUAUGAACUGAUCUUUCCUUUACAAGGGGUUUGAUUAAUUUGUUCCUGUGGCGAUGGAGGAAGCAAGGAUUAGCUGCCUGCUCCUAUGGGAACUCUCCAAGGGAGUCUGACAGUGCCUUUGUAUGAGUCCCUAGGGGCCCCCACCAGGUGCCCGGAAGCCCUAGAGGAAACUAUGUCGGUCCCUCGAGCAUCCAGUGGAGAGUGUGAACCCACCACUGGUUUCUCCCUGCCAUAGGCUCAACUCAGCUACAAGGAUUAGCCGCAUUCACUACAACCCCUGUAAGCACAGCACACCUGAGCAUGAAAAGAAGUGUGUGCCUUGGACAAGACAAAAGGUGGAACCACCAGUGCAACCAGUACUGCCCCAACUCUCAGCCCCGGCCAGAGGGUGGGACUACACUCCCAGGGGCCUGGCCUACUUUCCUCCAUUGCUGACAUGUCUCUAACACAGGGAUGGUGUGAUUGCCUCUUCCCGCAGCCUAGGUCUUGAGGAGCCAAGGUGUGCGUGGUAGAUACAGUGUGAUUACCCAGGGACUCGGGUAAGUCUGAAAGC